AAGCGUUACUCGGAAUUACUGGGCGUAAAGCGUGCGUAGGUGGUUGUUUAAGUCUGUUGUGAAAGCCCUGGGCUCAACCUGGGAAUUGCAGUGGAUACUGGGCGACUAGAGUGUGGUAGAGGGUAGUGGAAUUCCCGGUGUAGCAGUGAAAUGCGUAGAGAUCGGGAGGAACAUCCAUGGCGAAGGCAGCUACCUGGACCAACACUGACACUGAGGCACGAAAGCGUGGGGAGCAAACAGGAUUAGAUACCCUGGUAGUCCACGCCCUAAACGAUGCGAACUGGAUGUUGGGUGCAAUUUGGCACGCAGUAUCGAAGCUAACGCGUUAAGUUCGCCGCCUGGGGAGUACGGUCGCAAGACUGAAACUCAA
RNAcentral lists this ribosomal RNA (370 nucleotides) under uncultured Stenotrophomonas bacterium. RNAcentral's name for it is "bacterial SSU rRNA". It matches the Rfam family "Bacterial small subunit ribosomal RNA", at positions 536 to 904 of the family's 1533-position model. The record is from RNAcentral. Lineage: Bacteria; Pseudomonadati; Pseudomonadota; Gammaproteobacteria; Lysobacterales; Lysobacteraceae.